Molecule: long non-coding RNA, 252 nt
Filed under: Capsicum annuum
Lineage: Eukaryota; Viridiplantae; Streptophyta; Magnoliopsida; Solanales; Solanaceae
Description: long non-coding RNA (CANN_LNC020791)
Source: RNAcentral
CAGGUCGACGCGGGGCUUGGUUUCCGGCUUGGUCUACAAGUGAAAUCUGGUGACUUCUAACCUUCGCUUAUUUCAUUCUUCAUUCUACAUUCUUUCAUUCUUCGUAUUAUACUAGUAAUUGAGUAUAGUUUGGUUGCUGGAAUAUUUCUUUGAAUUUGUGUGAGCCUUGUAUUACUUGCUGCUGCUUUACUAUUACCAUCGUUUAUGUCUUUAUAUCUUUAUAUUAUCUUUAUAUUCUCUUAUACUUUCGCN